This 388-nucleotide ribosomal RNA is filed under the name uncultured Methanothermobacter sp. RNAcentral's name for it is "bacterial SSU rRNA". It matches the Rfam family "Archaeal small subunit ribosomal RNA", at positions 458 to 844 of the family's 1478-position model. The record is from RNAcentral. Lineage: Archaea; Methanobacteriati; Methanobacteriota; Methanobacteria; Methanobacteriales; Methanobacteriaceae.
CCAGCCGCCGCGGUAACACCGGCAGCUCAAGUGGUAGCCGCUUUUAUUGGGCCUAAAGCGUCCGUAGCCGGUUUGAUAAGUCUCUGGUGAAAUCCCACAGCUUAACUGUGGGAAUUGCGGGAGAUACUAUCAUGACUCGAGGUCGGGAGAGGCGGGAGGUACUCCCAGGGUAGGGGUGAAAUCCUGUAAUCCUGGGAGGACCACCUGUGGCGAAGGCGUCCAGCUGGAACGAACCUGACGGUGAGGGACGAAAGCCAGGGGCGCGAACCGGAUUAGAUACCCGGGUAGUCCUGGCCGUAAACGAUGUGGACUUGGUGUUGGGAUGGCUUCGAGCUGCCCCAGUGCCGAAGGGAAGCUGUUAAGUCCACCGCCAGGGAAGUACGGCCGC